This 506-nucleotide ribosomal RNA is filed under the name uncultured bacterium. RNAcentral describes it as "partial 16S ribosomal RNA". It matches the Rfam family "Bacterial small subunit ribosomal RNA", at positions 29 to 523 of the family's 1533-position model. The record is from RNAcentral.
AGUGAACGCUGGCGGUAGGCCUAACACAUGCAAGUCGAACGGCAGCACAGAGGAGCUUGCUCCUUGGGUGGCGAGUGGCGGACGGGUGAGGAAUACAUCGGAAUCUACUCUGUCGUGGGGGAUAACGUAGGGAAACUUACGCUAAUACCGCAUACGACCUACGGGUGAAAGCAGGGGAUCUUCGGACCUUGCGCGAUUGAAUGAGCCGAUGUCGGAUUAGCUAGUUGGCGGGGUAAAGGCCCACCAAGGCGACGAUCCGUAGCCGGUCGGAGAGUAUGAUCAGCCACACUGGAACGGAGACACGGUCCAGAAUCCUACGGGAGGCAGCAGUGGGGAAUAUUGGACAAUGGGCGCAAGCCUGAUCCAGCCAUACCGCGUGGGUGAAGAAGGCCUUCGGGUUGUAAAGCCCUUUUGUUGGGAAAGAAAUCCAUCUGGUUAAUACCCGGGUGGGAUGACGGUACCCAAAGAAUAAGCACCGGCUAACUUCGUGCCAGCCGCCGCGGUAA